CCUACGGGUGGCAGCAGUGAGGAAUAUUGGUCAAUGGGCGAGAGCCUGAACCAGCCAAGUCGCGUGAAGGAUGAAGGUUCUAUGGUUUGUAACCUUCUUUUAUAUGGGAGUAAAGUGAGGAACGUGUUCCUCUUUGUAUGUACCAUAUGAAUAAGCAUCGGCUAACUCCGUGCCAGUAGCCGCGGUAAUACGGAGGAUGCGAGCGUUAUCCGGAUUUAUUGGGUGUAAAGGGUGCGUAGGUGGUUCAUUAAGUCAGCGGUGAAAGUCUGUGGCUCAACGCUAAAAUUGCCGUUGAAACUGGUUGACUGGAGUGUAUUUGAGGUAGGCGGAAUGCGUGGUGUAGCGGUGAAAUGCAUAGAUAUCACGCAGAACUCCGAUUGCGAAGGCAGCUUACUAAAAUAUAACUGACACUGAGGCACGAAAGCGUGGGGAUCAAACAGGAUUAGAUACCCUUGUAGUC
RNAcentral lists this ribosomal RNA (460 nucleotides) under uncultured bacterium. RNAcentral's name for it is "partial 16S ribosomal RNA". It matches the Rfam family "Bacterial small subunit ribosomal RNA", at positions 338 to 795 of the family's 1533-position model. The record is from RNAcentral.